AUCAUCGAAGAGCUGCUAGAUGAGUUACACGGUGCUCAAUGGUUCUCGAAGUUGGACCUUCGUGCUGGGUACCACCAAAUCAGGUUGACAGAAGGGGAAGAGUACAAGACAGCUUUUCAAACUCAUUCAGGGCAUUUUGAAUUCCUGGUAGUCUCAUUUGGCCUCGCAGGCGGUCCAGCCACCUUCAAUGGAGCCAUUCAUCUCACAUUGAAUCCCCUCCUAAGGCACUGCGUCCUCUUGUUCUUCGAUGACAUACUUGUUUUCAUCCGGACCUUGCAAGAUCACCUGAAACAUUUGCGCCAAACUUUGGAGUUGCUUCGGCGAGACCACUGGAAAGUGAAGAUGAGUAGUGCUCGUUUGGUC
This 363-nucleotide ribosomal RNA is filed under the name Triticum aestivum (bread wheat). RNAcentral describes it as "partial small subunit ribosomal RNA". The record is from RNAcentral. Lineage: Eukaryota; Viridiplantae; Streptophyta; Magnoliopsida; Poales; Poaceae.